GGAGUCACGCGAAGUCGGAAGUACCAGCUGCGGGAAGGAGCUGCCCACUGUGCGUCUUCUCAACUUGUUGGGACAACCUUCCUGCGGAAAGGAGAGACAACCUUCCUGCAGAAAGGAGCUACCUGCUUCAGGUCUACUGAGAGCUGUUCUGCCACUCAAUAAAGCUCUUCUCCAUCUUGCUAAGCCUCCAUUUGUCCGCAAUACCUCAUCUCCCUGGACGCAGGACAAGAACUCAGGACCCGCCUGGAGGUGCCCACAGCAGAAUCCACAUGCCGUCCAUCUGGUCCAGCCUCACGCAGAGCCACAACUGUGCUGGCGCCUGGAGCUGCCAGCCCCACUGCAGCAGCCGGACUGACAUUCAGACGUGGAGCAAGUUGGACUGCAUAGGGACCCACCAGUGAGAUGGACGCUGUCUGUAAACGGGGAAAUUUAUGGAAAGAUGUCCUCCUGCAACUGCUGAAAAUGCAACAUGCUGCCCAGGUCCUGCUCAGACCACUGACAACUCAGAAGUUAAUACUCAGAGUGGAAAGCGUAGCAAAGUGUAGUACAUGAGCAAGCGUUUCAAGCCAGACGGAGUUAAUCAUCUCUGUCACUGAAUUGGAGCUCACGGUCUGCUGGACAACUGUGCUGAGUGGAAAGGAAGCCUCGAUGGCUAAGUCACUUGUCCAACCUCAGACACUGGCAGAUCCAGGAUUCAAACAGCUAGACUCCAAAUGUGUUUCCUUUAACCUCUUUUCUACCUUUUCAACUUGAUUCCACACAUCACCACUGGGAAAGCUUAGGUGAGUAAGUCAUGUGGGCUUUGGUUUUUUCAUCUGCACGAUGGAUAGACUGAGACCUUCUUCCCUCAUGCCUCUGAGGAUGACAUAAAAAACCCACAAAAUCCCUAGUCCACUUACUUGCUCACAGAUAUUUACUGAGUGAGCAUCUGAUUUCCAUCCCAUUGUCACCUUCUCCCUAGCUGUCCAGACACCCUGCUUGCCUGGCCAAUGCCACCAAAGAAUGGAACCUGCUUUUGUUCCACACUCCGUAGCCAGAAAAAAGAGACAGUUGUUCUGGCAUGUUAUUGUUUGAUUUUAUUUUACCUCAGGGAUUAAAAAAAAUGACUAUCAAUUA
Molecule: long non-coding RNA, 1116 nt
Organism: Homo sapiens (human)
Lineage: Eukaryota; Metazoa; Chordata; Mammalia; Primates; Hominidae
Product: long intergenic non-protein coding RNA 1579
Source: Ensembl